Molecule: long non-coding RNA, 2479 nt
Organism: Erigeron canadensis
Lineage: Eukaryota; Viridiplantae; Streptophyta; Magnoliopsida; Asterales; Asteraceae
Exons: 3
Source: RefSeq, a predicted model, not a curated record
GUUUUGAUGCUGAACCAUCCAGAAUGCAUACCCUAUGCUCUAACAAGUGACGACCGUGGGUUGGGUAUUUGGGUCUCCAGUCCUCACUCUCAAAAACCCCUAGCUACUACAUUUUCCAACAUUCAUCCAUUCAUCCCUAUUCCCCCCAAAAAAUCAAAAUAACCAAAAUCAAGAUGUCAGAGUAUGUACCGAUAGAGAUUCAGGCGAAAUCUUGAAAAGGCUUCCUUCAAAGCCGUUGAUCCAAUUCCGAUCAGUCUCAAAAUCAUGGAAGCGUUUGAUCGACAGCCCCAAUUUCAUGGUUUCAUACGCUGUUCGUCAUCCUCAGCCCGACCGUUUCAUUUUAAGGUAUGCUCUUCCUGAUUAUGAUCAUAUUGUUGAGGACCAAUAUUUGUUUUUUGUAGAUAAUGAUGAUGAAAAUGAUAAUGAUCAUAAUCAUAAUGGUUUUGUCCAACAAGAUAUUGUUCCUACCAUUCCUGACCUCAUUAAGAGAAUUGAAUCCAGUUCUAGUGUAUUUGGUAGUUCUCAUGGUUUGGUGUGCUUUGUCGGUGAUUACGAAUACCCUGAUAACGAUUCCUCUGAAUUUGAUGGAGAAAAAAUGGUUGUUGUUUGGAAUCCAUCGAUUGGGAAAUCUGUUGGUAUUCAAGUCCCAGAGAUGUAUUAUUCCCCGAAUGAAAACUAUCGGAUUGAUGAUGUUAUUGGUUUUGGGGUUUGUCCUGUCACUCUUGAUCCCACUAUUCUCAAGAUUGAAUGCAUUAAUUAUAGGAAGCAACUAAAUGGCGGUAUGCGUGGCACUGGUGUCCCUUGGAAAGUUCAAGUUUUUACUUUGAGCACUGGGACUUGGAGUAUUCUAUCUACCAAUCUUCCCCGCGAAUCGAUAGGUUUAUGUAAUGGUCUAUCUAGAGGGUGGUCUCAGGUCGUUAUCGAUAGGAUCAUUUAUUGGGUUGCUUUGGAUAUGCUUCUUGAUGCUGAAUCUUAAUCACAUUUUCUGAUCAUAUCUUUUGAUUUAAUUGCCAAAGAAUUUAAAGAGAUUAAUCUCCCAGAUAGUCUAACAAACGGGCUUUGUAGUAUUGAGACUAUAUCUAAGCUACGGGAGUGUCUUGUUUUGCUUGAAUUCCAUAGAGACUAUGGGACAAACCUAGAAGUUUGUUGUCUAUGGAUGAUGAAGGAGCAAGGGUUUAGUGAAUCGUUUACAAAGCUAUACACCUUCAACCUACCAGAUACCACAGUAAAUACAUUACUAGGAUGUAGGAAGACCGGCGAGCUUAUACUGGAGACAGGGUAUGCUGAUGUUGUAAUUUAUGAACCCAACUCAGAAACCAUUGAUAAUCUUGAGAUUGAUGGAGUCGAACAUACCUUCUCUAUGUGUUCUUAUAAGGACUCUCUGCUUUUGGUUGAUCAAUUAGAUGGUUAUAUAUAUAUCCGAUAAGUCACUAAUCACUAAUAGAUGAUCUCAUUAAAAUAUGCGGAUGGAUUUCCCCAGUGAUGUACUACAUCAGUGAGGGCUGCUUGUCAUUAGUUAAGGCAGAAUAAUUACUUACAUUUUGUGUAAGUGACUUCAUUAUUCUCUUCAAGUUUUAGACUUGGUUAGAAUUUUUUGUUUUGCAAAUGCUUGAAUUAUCAACACUCCAUAUGCUUAAAAUUUUAUGUGACAUCUAAAUGACAACUCUGAGUGUUUUUCAUUUUGUGUGUGGGAACAGUUAAUUUAAGCUUCUUUGCAUAUAGUUUUCUGAUUUGAACAUCUAAUUUAAGCUUCUUUGCAUAUAGUUUUCUGAUUUGAACAGUUAAUUUAAGCUUCUUUGCAUAUUAAAAUUACUUGAUGUAGCUUACAGUUUUGAGCCAAAGCAUUAUGGUUACAGAAAUUUCCACUAUACUUGUGAGCUAUAUAAACCUCGAUAGCAAAUAUGAGCAGCAGACCAGUAAGCUACUCUUUGAUCAAAAUACAUCGGAAGCACUAACCAGCAACCACAACCAUUAAAGAAGUUAAUGAGGAAAGGAAGUUUAUCAGAAGCAGAAUAUAUAUUCACAACUGGUUGUCGAUUAGUCAUUCGGACUAUAUAUGUCAAUGGGAUAUAGAUCAAAUGAAAAGGUACCUGAAAGAGAGAAGAGCGUAGCUCGUAAGCUAUAGGAAAAGCCUCUCAGUCUAUGACGGAGCCAUGAUGGCUAAAGGGGAAGCCUGUUAUGUACAGAACCAAGUGGUUUGUGGAAGUUGCAAAGAUUCCUUACGAGUUGUUGUAACCAUUUGACCCAUUUACAAAUUGUGUUUUGACCUAUUACAAUCUGAGAUUGUAGAGGUCCAACAUCUCCCUCCUCUCAGAAUCUAAGUUCUGCUGCUGCUGCUGCUGUAAUUACUCCUUUUCAAUGCUGAUUGCUGAUCACCACUUGUGUUACUUGCCCGGUUUUUAUCUUCUUUGUGUUCCAGACUUUGAACAUAUUCCUAGUCCUUGGAUAGUAAAUAAUAAUUUUAGCGUCGAUUAUUUUA